RNAcentral lists this ribosomal RNA (253 nucleotides) under uncultured bacterium. Its description in RNAcentral is "partial 16S ribosomal RNA". It matches the Rfam family "Bacterial small subunit ribosomal RNA", at positions 524 to 776 of the family's 1533-position model. The record is from RNAcentral.
UACGAAGGGGGCAAGCGUUGUUCGGAAUUACUGGGCGUAAAGGGCGCGCAGGCGGCCGAUCAAGUCAGAUGUGAAAGCCCCGGGCUCAACCUGGGAAUAGCAUUUGGGACUGGUCGGCUAGAGUUCGGGAGAGGAGAGUGGAAUUCCCAGUGUAGAGGUGAAAUUCGUAGAUAUUGGGAAGAACACCGGUGGCGAAGGCGGCUCUCUGGACCGAUACUGACGCUGAGGCGCGAAAGCGUGGGGAGCAAACAGG